RNAcentral lists this long non-coding RNA (216 nucleotides) under Nicotiana benthamiana. RNAcentral describes it as "long non-coding RNA (NBEN_LNC006563)". The record is from RNAcentral. Lineage: Eukaryota; Viridiplantae; Streptophyta; Magnoliopsida; Solanales; Solanaceae.
AGAUCUAUGUGAAAGAGAAUCUCUAGUUCUAGACGAAGGGCCAGAACUAGAUGAAGGAAGAGAAGAACCACGUAUAGAUGAAGACCCUAAAUUACAUUUCCUACCUCCUCCUCUUCUAUCCCUAUUAGGGACAAGAGGAAAGUUAUUAACUAUGGGAACUCUCUUAGAGUUAGGGUUUGGUGAAUCCAUGACAGUACGAGGAAGAUGAAGAACGAG